This is a non-coding RNA of Microcebus murinus (gray mouse lemur), 5022 nucleotides long. Lineage: Eukaryota; Metazoa; Chordata; Mammalia; Primates; Cheirogaleidae. The record is from RefSeq and is a predicted model, not a curated record.
GGGGGGGGGGGUGAGCCUUAAAAUUUUAUUUUAGCUUAUGCUUCCUAUAUUUUCAACCCUUGUGAUGGAAUUGUGUUCACUUGAAGAGGACUCUUCAGGGCCUCCCUUCUUUUCAGAGAUAUUUUAAUAUGAUUAUUAUAUCCCAGUAGACUAUAAGCACUAGAAUCACAUAACUACUUUUUUCAAAAAAUAUCUUAUUCAGCUACUAGUACCUUGCUCUGUAAGAGUUGGAUGUCAGUAAAUAUUUGAUCGACUAAAGAGUGAACAUUAACCCACUUAACAAAUGGCAAAAGAAUUUCAGAGACACUAAGAAUAAAAAGGGUUUUAACUUUUAUAAUUUAAAAUAGGUUUGUCCUCCAUCCCCUUUUAAAAAUUAAUCUCUACUCGUUCAGCUAUAUUGACCUCAUGGAUGGAUACAUUUGUAGCAUGUGUAAAUGUCAGGCUUUUGUUUUUAUUUUUAUUUUUUAUUCUGGAGAAGAGAGGUGGUACAGUUUGGAACAUCAUAAGAAACUGUUGCAUAACUCUCCUUAUUCUUAAAUCUAUCCACCAAGGGCUAAAAACUAAAGGAAUUUAAGCAUUUCAUCUCUCCUUUUUCCUCUUAGAGAGGGAAGAAUAAAGCAAACCCUAAACACCCCAUAUCAUUUUAUUGUAUGGAAAAUCUAUUACUUACUUUUGCUCUUCCUAUUGUUGAAUAUUUGUUUUUCAAUUUUCAGUAUUUUAGCUACAUUUUUAUACAUAUCGAUUAUUGCACAUAUUUCUAGAAAUAAAACUUUUGUGUCAAGGGCAUACAUCAUUAAAAGUCAUUUGAAAUAUGUUGCCAUAAAUUAUUCCUGUUUAUACUCUUACUAGCAAAUUAUGAGGGAGUCCAUUUCCUCAUAUGCUCAUUGGUACUUAAGAAGACUGUUAACAGAAAAAAACAAACUGUAAAAUAAUUUGAAGAGUUUAUUCUGAGCCAAUAUGAGUGACCGUGGCCAGAGGAGACACAAUCUCAGGAGAUCCUGAGAAACUGUGCCCGAGGAUACAUUUCAGGGAGACAGAAAUUGCAGGUAAAAUCAUAAAUCAAUACAUGGACGGUAUACAUUGGUUCGGCUUGAAAAAUUGGGAUAUCUUGAAUAGGGGGCUCAGAAGACAUCGGUGGAGAUUAGAGAUUAGAGAUUCUUUAAUUGGCAGUUGGUUGAGAAAGUUAGGCUUUGUCUGAAAAUUUGUAGUCAAUAGGAAGGAAUAUGGAAGUUAAAAUAAGGGAGUCUAUUAUCUGCCAUGUGAUACCAUGUCAGCAAAAAGGACCUAUUUAAUUAGAUUUUGUGGAUUGUAAGGCAUGACUUAACCCUUCCCUUGCUUGGCCUUAGGUCUUGUUUACAAUUUGGUGUUUUACUGCUGUUUUGUCAGUCUUAUAUCUCUAAGGUUAAUGCUGGUCAAUUGUGUCUAAACUCCAGAAGGGAGGGCGUAUAACAAGACAUGUCUGACCUCCCUUCCCAUCAUGGCCAGGAACUCAGUUUUAGGGUCUUUCUGGGAUACUCUUACUCAAAAGGGAGUCCGUUUAGUUGGUGGGAGGAUUAGAAUUUUAUUUUUAGUUUACAAUAUAUCUGAGUGUAAAAAAGAAAAACAAAACAGCAAAUUUGAUAGAUGUAAAAUGACAUUAUUUUACCAAUCUUUAUCUCACAAAUGUUUUCAAAUGCUACUAUCAAGGAAAUGUUUUUCCUAAAUACCUGUAGUGUAGACCUUCCCCAUCCCUCCUUCUAAUCACAAGACUUUAAAGAAUGGGAUUUUUUUUAGGUGGAAUUUUAGCUUAGAAAAUAAAUUCUUUUUAAAAUUUCACUUUUGGUUGAGUUUUACAGGUUUUCUCCUAGGUAGACAUCGGUAAUGCAUAAUACCAGUGACAAAAGUAGAUCUCAAAUGAGAAACUAUCAUGGAUGGUAAUUCAAUGCCCUCUGCCUGUGCCAACCCCAGGACUGUCUUUAUUGAAUAUAGGUGUUAAAUGUGUGCAUUAAAAGAGUGAGUACCAUAGUUCUUAAUGAGUAACUCAUUAAGUGAUGUUAUCUGUGUCACCUUUUAUGUGUCAGUAGGUGCCACAAAUCACUAUCUAAGCAUAGUGAUGAAAUUAUCUUUUGAAGCUUAAGAAUGCUCAUGCAUAUACAUCAUCAGAGUACCUCCUUAUAAAGGCUUUUAGCUCAUAACUCUGCUGGGGGCAAUCAGAAGUUUGUCAUUAUCUUAUUCAUUUAGAGAGACUUACACACUCUGGGAUUCUGAGCUCAUUUGUGGCACUCACCCUUUACGAGAGGUGUGUAUUUUCUGUGGUGUUGGAAAGGUACUACUUCUGAGCAAAUAGAUUUGAUUCAGUUGGGGUUGCUUCUUAGCUGGUACCAACCAAGUAUAUCAUGUCUCUGAAAGAGUUCAAAGGUUUGCUCAAUAUUCAGGAAAGUUUUACAUAAGUAGAUUUUCUGAAUCAGAAUGAAUUAUUUGUGUUGGCCUCUAUUAGACUGUCUCUAUUUCAUCUUGCUAGACACAGCUGAUGAGAUUAUAUUUUUAAAAGUCCAGUUCUGUGCAAAAGUAGGAAGCUUGCAAGCUGUACCAUGGCCCCUCCAACCUCCUCAGUCAGGACUCCUUUUUCCCCCAACACUGUUUCUUCCUUGAGGGAUUCCUUUGUCACUCUGCACACUUAUCUUUUGUUUUGAGAAGGGUUCCUCUUCUUCCCACCUAUUGGUUAUGAGUCUUUAUUAGGAAGUUAAUUGAUAAUAAGCUAAAAGGUAAUGAAUGGAUUCACUCAGUUUUAUAUCCUGGAUUCCAAAGAAAUGAUCUCAGAACUAUUCUAAUUCUCUAUGAGAAUCUUUAAAAUUUGUUUUCUCUGUUCUAUGACUAAUAUAUUUUCAGUCAAUAUGAUAGACCUUACAAAUUUGAGGAACACGAGGUCCGAUGACAGAGCGUUCUGCCUCCUGUAGCAUUUGUACUGUAAUAUGGAGCCCUUGAAGACUAAAAAGACAAUAAUCUGAAGUCGAUUAUCUUUGUGCAAUAUCAUUGGUUAGUUGUUCAGAGCUCUCUGCCCCCUGGCCUUUCAAGGUAUCUUCAGCUUUCCCUUCCUAGGGCCUACCCCUGGCCUGGCUCAUAGUCACCCUUCAACAAUAGUUUUUUUUGAAUAAAUGAAUUUUAGGGUUUCCCCUCUUUAAAGCCAGUGAUGAAGGUGUAAUGAGUAAUGAACCAGUAUCAUCAAAGUGAGCAUCUGUUGUAAAUCCUUCAGAUUAUUAGUAUAAAGAUGUGAAUGAAUGCAGAGCUGAACAGAGUUGCUGUUAAAGGAGCUAAUGCUUGUCUGCCUCCUCGACAGUAAGGAUCAUCAUUUAUGGCUUUCUUCUUAGCGCACAGUAUUCAGGAAGGCUCGGUGUGCAUGUGAUUGCACUAGCGCCUAUGCCAAGAAAGCACGAGAGAGUUUGUUUGUUCGAUUUAUAGAGUUCCUUUCCACAGGAGAUGAUAGAAGACCAGCCAGGGUAAAGUGGAGUGUAAACCUGAGAUGUGUUGGCAAUUCAAAUGUGGCACCUUCUGUAUAAAGCCAUCCAGCGGUUAUGCUAUUAAAUGUGCAUGUAGCAUCACCUCAUUGAACACUUCCCAAGUAAGACUUAUGGCCUGGAGAGUGACUGUGUCACAUUACACAGCCCUGGAGAGAAUGGGAGGUUCCUGCCCUGGUACAUGCAGUAAUUUAAAAAUUACUCUACAUGUCUUGGAAGACGUCACGAUAAAUUCUCGUGAUAACCCUUCUGAUAACUGUGAAAUUCCUUUGUCUUACCCUUGUAGAAGAAACAGUGAGAUAUAUAACCAUGUAAAGAGCAGAAAGGCCUCAGAUGUGUGACAUAGAAGUCCAAAAGUCAGUUUCCCAAGAUGGCUGCUGGAGCUCUGGCCAUCACAUCUGCAUUGCAGACCGGAUAAAAGAGUGCAAGGCAAGAGGGCUGAAAAGAUUCCCUGCCAGCUGAGUUCAGCUCCCUUUUAGCAGCCUACCUGCAAUUCCCACAUAACACUUCUGGUUACAGCUCAGCCUAAUUGUAAGCAAGCUUGGAAUUUUAGCUUGAGUGACUAUAUAUCUAGCUUAAAACAAGGGUCAUCUAAGAAGGAAAGAGUGAUAUUGGAAUAAGCCAAUGAUAGUCUUGUUUCCACAGGGAAUCUUCAUUUGUCUUGAGUGACUGUGGAAUGUCACAGGAUUUUUGAUUCAUUAGAAACUGCUAACUUAGUCAUUUAUUAUUGGUUACUAGUGAUACAGAUUCAAAAAAUAGGGCUGAGAGAAAUUAAGAUGCACUUAUACACAAAUGGUUAUUAGCAGAAAUUUAGGAGUACUCAGGAUACUAGCCUUUUGAGUUUUCACUUACACAAAACAAAUGGCAGUGCUGAAUGUUAGAAAUGCAGACAUGCAGUUUUGAAUCCUUAGUGAUUGUUCUUUGGGUUCCUUCAUAGUUGUGUAGAUAAGUUAAUGGGGAUCCAGGCUCUUCAGAUUACCUAGGGAGCCAAGGGCUGUUGGCACAAGUGGUUUUGUGAUUAAGAACCUUUGCCUUCCACCAGGAGAAACCAGGCUCUAUGCCAAGUACAGGCUUACAUUGUCCCAUUGAUACAGCCAUCCUGAAAGAUAAAGUCCUCGUUUUAGGUGCUAGAAAGUAAGACUCAGUUUAAAUAACCCAAACUAUUUCUCGGUGUACCUUUUAGAAAUAGAAUAUUGGAUCUGAUAUUCCGUGAAUCUGAACCAGUGUUGGCAGUUCACAAGCUAUUUAAAUAUUAGCUUUGAUUUUCCUGUCUUAGUGAGAGAGAAGAGGUGGUAGGAGGGAAAGAAGGGGAUGCAAGGAGAGAGCCCAGGGAAGUGGAAUGAAGGCCAUGGGCUUAAGAAGUUCCAGUAAUAAAAGAUUCUUUAGCCAAUUUCUCUAUUCAAGGGCCACUUUUCUCACUGAGAAUUUCAAAUUCCUUUCCACUGUUGUUCUGCUCACCUAUAACAGACUUCAAAAUGUAUAGGAACAUUUCUUCUUUCGUGUGUACAAAAAAAAAAAAAAAAAAAAA